UGAUGUGAGGGCGAUCUGGCUGCAACAUCUGUCACCUCAUUGAUCGCCAGGGUUGAUUCGGCUGAUCUGGCUGGCUAGGCGGGUGUCCCCUUCCUCCCUCACCGCUCCAUGUGCGUCCCUCCCGAAGCUGCGCGCUCAGUGGAAGAGGACGACCAUCCCAGAUAGAAGGAGUGUACCGUUCUUCGGUCAAGGGUAUACGAUAGCUGCGCUCCCCUGCUAGAACCUCCAAACAAGCUCAAGGUCCCCUAUCCUUUUUGCCAUGUGGUUGAAAUCGCAGCUGGGAGAGCUGGAUUGUGAGCCGAGGAAAA
Molecule: small nuclear RNA, 308 nt
Filed under: Podarcis lilfordi (Lilford's wall lizard)
Lineage: Eukaryota; Metazoa; Chordata; Lepidosauria; Squamata; Lacertidae
Rfam family: 7SK RNA
About the family: 7SK was discovered as an abundant small nuclear RNA in the mid-70s but a possible function has only recently been suggested. Two independent studies have found that 7SK RNA binds the CDK9/cyclin T complex (known as elongation factor P-TEFb).
Source: RNAcentral